This 253-nucleotide ribosomal RNA is filed under the name uncultured bacterium. RNAcentral's name for it is "partial 16S ribosomal RNA". It matches the Rfam family "Bacterial small subunit ribosomal RNA", at positions 524 to 776 of the family's 1533-position model. The record is from RNAcentral.
UACGGAGGAGGCAAGCGUUAUCCGGAAUUAUUGGGCGUAAAGCGUCCGCAGGUGGCGAUUCAAGUCUGCGGUUAAAGACUGGGGCUUAACCCUGGAAAGGCCGUGGAAACUGAAACGCUAGAGUGCAGUAGGGGUAGAGGGAAUUCCCGGUGUAGCGGUGAAAUGCGUAGAGCUCGGGAAGAACAUCGGUGGCGAAAGCACUCUGCUGGACUGCAACUGACACUCAGGGACGAAAGCUAGGGGAGCGAAUGGG